Molecule: long non-coding RNA, 819 nt
Filed under: Felis catus (domestic cat)
Lineage: Eukaryota; Metazoa; Chordata; Mammalia; Carnivora; Felidae
Description: lncRNA (ENSFCAG00000048705.1)
Source: RNAcentral
GUGUUUUCCACUUAGUCUUGAAUUGGAUGUUGCUUUUUCUCACUCAGACCCAGAGCAGAAAAGAAUCCCUUCCUAUCGCAACAGGUCAGCUCCAAGAAGAGUGUGAAGAAGAGAGCACUUUGCAAAAGAAAACAAGGCUAUUUCUGGAAAAUAUGUUAUCAGCAACAGGUCUCCCAGGGCUGUGGAAGACUGCACGGCUACAGAAGAAAAAAAAUCAAGUUAUAGGUGCCAUGGAAAAUAAGAGCAUUAGGAAUGAAAUGAAACUAUCAUCUGAAGGCAGAAGCAAAGCCAUGAAUUGGAAGAAAAAUCAUGUAGAUGGAAGCUGAGGAGGUGGCCCUUAUAGAACUCCUGGGAUCCCAGGAAAUCCAGCCUUCACUGGGAAGAGUGGUCAAGGCAGAUGCAUCUGUGGUCUCAUUGCACCGUUCUCGGAGGCUCUCCUGACACUCGGUGCCCAGAAGCCACAAAGCUCACUCUGUGGGCUCCAACUGCACCCUGUUUGCCUUGGGAAACCACACGCUGCACCUACCUGGACCAGGCCCCUGCCCUUGGAUGUCCUCCAUGCUGCUCAAAAAGAACAUUUCCUAGGUGAAGGGAACAGCUCACCCCCAUGGGGCGCUGGCAGUUUGUGUCGGAAAUAGCCAGCAAUGCUCUGAGGAAAAGGACUCCAGGAACUGGAAGCUAUGACCCCGGGGGAUGGCCUACUGGGAUGAAUCUAGACACCUAGACAUCUAGAGGAACGACUGGCCCUGAGGAUAUGGGUGAGUGCCUCUUAUUUGAUUAAUUCUGAUAGAGUGCUGUGUGAAAUCCUAGACUCUAAAA